This 427-nucleotide ribosomal RNA is filed under the name uncultured bacterium. RNAcentral describes it as "partial 16S ribosomal RNA". It matches the Rfam family "Bacterial small subunit ribosomal RNA", at positions 355 to 774 of the family's 1533-position model. The record is from RNAcentral.
UGGGGAAUAUUGCACAAUGGGCGCAAGCCUGAUGCAGCCAUGCCGCGUGUAUGAAGAAGGCCUUCGGGUUGUAAAGUACUUUCAGCGGGGAGGAAGGUGUUGUGGUUAAUAACCACAGCAAUUGACGUUACCCGCAGAAGAAGCACCGGCUAACUCCGUGCCAGCAGCCGCGGUAAGACGGAGGGUGCAAGCGUUAAUCGGAAUUACUGGGCGUAAAGCGCACGCAGGCGGUCUGUCAAGUCGGAUGUGAAAUCCCCGGGCUCAACCUGGGAACUGCAUCCGAAACUGGCAGGCUUGAGUCUUGUAGAGGGGGGUAGAAUUCCAGGUGUAGCGGUGAAAUGCGUAGAGAUCUGGAGGAAUACCGGUGGCGAAGGCGGCCCCCUGGACAAAGACUGACGCUCAGGUGCGAAAGCGUGGGGAGCAAACA